Molecule: long non-coding RNA, 2192 nt
Filed under: Ficedula albicollis (Collared flycatcher)
Lineage: Eukaryota; Metazoa; Chordata; Aves; Passeriformes; Muscicapidae
Description: lncRNA (ENSFALG00000029047.1)
Source: RNAcentral
AUGCUCCUCGCACCGCCCCUCGCCCCCGCACGCCGGCCCAGCUGCGCGGCAAAACACGCCGGGGCCGCGGCCCGACGGGAGGGGGGACCCCUCUGCUCUGGGGGUCCCUCUGGCCCCGGGGGUCUGUCCUGCCCCCAGCGAUCCGGCGGGGUGAGAAGGUGGAAGGACGCAGAGCAUCCCCAGGUUUUGGGGUGCAGUGGCCCUGGGAGACCCCCAGGACAGCAGGGACAGGAUGGAGGAGAAGCAGCCGCUCUCCUGUCCGGGGGGGGGGGGGGGGGGGGGGGGGGGGGGGGGGGGGGGGGGGGGGGGGGGGGGGGGGGGGGGGGGGGGGGGGGGGGGGGGGGGGGGGGGGGGGGGGGGGGGGGGGGGGGGGGGGGGGGGGCUAAAACUGGUACAGCCCCUCUCAUGUCCCCCAAAACGAGCACAGCCCCUCUCUUGUCCCCCAAAACGAGCACAACCCCUCUCCUGUCCCCCAAAACAGGUACAGCCCCUCUUCUGCCCCCCAGAACCGGCAUAGCCCCUCUCCUGUCCCCUCAAACCGGUACAACCCCUCUCCUGUCCCCCAAAACGAGCACAGCCCCUCUUCUGCCCCCCAAAACGAGCACAGCCCCUCUCCUGCCCCCCAAAACCGGCACAGCCCCUCUCCUGUCCCCCAAAACCGCCGCAGCCCCUCUCCCGGUGCCCCUCGCCGGCGGUGGGAGCCGCCAGCCUGUAAAAGCCAGCGCGAGGAAUAUUUGCUUUCCCAGAGCACCUUCGGAGCGGCAGGGCCGGCACAAAGCAGGAAUUCAAAGCUCGGAGACCAGACCGGGAGCCAGGCCAGAUCACGGCCCCUGUGCAGCCAGUGGGGAAACUGAGGCACGGGGGGGAUGGAGCCGGCCAGCAGCACGGGGUCGCCGCGGCUCUGAUCGACGCUGAGCCGCAUCAGCAGGGCGGCGGCGAUGAUGAGCACCAGCAGCACCACCACGACCACCACGAUCAGCAGGCAGCGCAGGUGGCAGCAGCUCAGGAGCGGGGGGGGGGGGGAUCUCAGAGGCUUCAACGACCCCUCCCCCCGGGCAUCGGGGGGUCCCUGCUGACGGCAUUUGGGGGGAUCCGCACUCACGGUGUCGCCGCGGCUCUGAUCGACGCUGAGCCGCAUCAGCAGGGCGGCGGCGAUGAUGAGCACCAGCAGCACCACCACGACCACCACGAUCAGCAGACAGCGCAGGUGGCAGCAGCUCAGGAGCUUGCGGGGCAGGUAGCAGAGCAGCCGAGGGACGAAGCACAGCGACUUCAUGAGGCAGCCGGAGCAGCUGCCGCAGCCGGGACACUUGGGGCACUUGGGGCACUUGGGGCACCGGCAGCACUUGGGCAGGCAGCAGCACCUGGCGCAGCACAUGCCGCACCUGGUGCAGCAUUUGGCGCAGCACACGCUGCAUCUGGUGCAGCAUUUGGCGCAGCACGUGGCGCAGGGCAGGCAGCAGCCCGGGCAGCAGCAGCCGUUCCCCGAGUCCUGGGGGUGCGGGGAAGUGUGGGGAGGUGCGGUUAGGGGGGUGCAGGUGGGAGCUGGGGGAUGCAGGAGGUUGAGGUGGGGUUGCAGCUGCUUUUGGGCACUGGGAAUGCAGCACCCCAUGGUCAAACCCCCAUCCCGGGCACUGGGAAUGGAGCAUCCCAUGGUCCAAACCCCCAUCCCGGGCACUGGGAAUGGAGCACCCCAUGGUCCAAACCCCCAUCCCGGGCACUGGGAAUGGAGCACCCCAUGGUCCAAACCCCCAUCCUGGGCACUGGGAAUGCAGCACCCCAUGGUCCAAACCCCCAUCCCGUGCCUUGCUGGGAUAAACUGGGUGCUGAGCUGGCUGCAGGGACACCGUGGUGCUGCAGGGACUCACCUCCUCUUCAAACACCACCUGCUUCAUGCUGCUCUCCAUGGCUGCCUCCUCCUCCUCCUCCUCUUCCUCCUCUUCCUCCUUCUCCUCCCAUUCCCAACCCAGCCUGGCUGCUGGGACUGGGAAUUUUAUACUGGGGCACUGGGGUGUGGACUGGAGUGGCCCCUGUGAAGGGUUUGGUGGCCCUGGCAUGUGACCCACUCCACUGGUGUUUGCUGAGCUCCCACUUCCAGCUGGACCCUGCUGGGAACCUGCUGCUCGAGAGGCUCUGAGGGCUCUGGGUCAAGGGUCCUUGUCCUUCUCUGCUGCCCAGGAGCGAGGUGCCAG